Molecule: ribosomal RNA, 253 nt
Filed under: uncultured bacterium
Lineage: Bacteria
Description: partial 16S ribosomal RNA
Rfam family: Bacterial small subunit ribosomal RNA
Source: RNAcentral
UACGAAGGGGGCUAGCGUUGUUCGGAAUCACUGGGCGUAAAGGGCGCGUAGGCGGCUUGAUAAGUCGGGGGUGAAAGCCUGUGGCUCAACCACAGAAUUGCCUUCGAUACUGUCUGGCUUGAGACCGGAAGAGGUUAGUGGAACUGCGAGUGUAGAGGUGAAAUUCGUAGAUAUCAGGAGGAACACCGGUGGCGAAGGCGCACAUCUGGCCCGAUACUGACGCUGAGGCGCGAAAGCUAGGGGAGCAAACGGG